Molecule: ribosomal RNA, 406 nt
Filed under: uncultured bacterium
Lineage: Bacteria
Description: partial 16S ribosomal RNA
Rfam family: Bacterial small subunit ribosomal RNA
Source: RNAcentral
AUUGAACGCUGGCGGCAGGCCUAACACAUGCAAGUCGAACGAGUGGCGGACGGGUGAGUAAUGUCUGGGAAACGGCCCGAUAGAGGGGGAUAACUACUGGAAACAGUCGCUAAUACCGCAUACCAUCGGAUGAGCCCAGAUGGGAUUAGCGAGUAGGUGGGGUAAUGGCUCACCUGGGAGACGAUCCCUAGCUGUUCUGAGAGGAGGACCAGCAACACUGGAACUGAGACACGGUCCAGACUCCUACGGGAGGCAGCAGUGGGGAAUAUUGCACAAGGGGCGCAAGCCUGAUGCAGCCAUGCCGCGUGUAUGAAGAAGGCCUUCGGGUUGUAAAGUACUUUCAGCGAGGAGGCGUUACUCGCAGAAGAAGCACCGGCUAACUCCGUGCCAGCCGCCGCGGUAAUUC